This is a long non-coding RNA of Cannabis sativa, 375 nucleotides long. RefSeq lists it as uncharacterized. The transcript has 2 exons. The record is from RefSeq and is a predicted model, not a curated record. Lineage: Eukaryota; Viridiplantae; Streptophyta; Magnoliopsida; Rosales; Cannabaceae.
AAUCAGGGGUUAACCCUAUUUGUGAAAAUCCUGGAUUGUGUGACUAGGAUUACCGGCACCUGGUCAGGAGCACCCGGGGAUUCGGAAUCUCUGCCUUUACGGGACAGCAGGAAAGGGUAAGUCAGUGGCUGAUCAACCAUGAGUUUGAGGAGCAAGAUGAAGAAUGUACAUGUUCAAGCCAUAUCAGACCAAGCGGGUUAAGGGUCUAUCAGUGAUGAACUUUUGAAUUCUAUUUUGCCGUUUAGGUCGGCUAGAAAUAAAUGACUUGUAAUAGCGUUUGUAAAUAUUUUUGGGAUCCCAACUAUUUUAAAAGUUUUAAAUAUAUUACAAGUUUAUUUUCUUUCUGUUUAAUAUAAAAGUUUAAAUUCUGCGCUA